GGUUUAGUAUUCAAUUAUGAUUUUAAAUUGCAAAUUUAAAGGUGAGUUAAUCUCUUAAACUU
Molecule: transfer RNA, 62 nt
Filed under: Teslasena femoralis
Lineage: Eukaryota; Metazoa; Arthropoda; Insecta; Coleoptera; Elateridae
Description: tRNA-Cys
Source: RNAcentral